UGAAAACCAGAGCUAUAUUUAAAAAAAAAAAUUCAGAACUUUAAAAAGUUUGCUUUUAGUUUAUUCUUAGAAAUGCUAAAUGGUUUGUAAAGGACAGAAGGGACUGUUGUAAUAGUUUCUGAAACAGUAUGUGCAUCCUAUAUGACGUGGUAGUCAUUUUAAACUUUUAAGAAUAUAAACUCUUCAGUGAAGGGGCUGUCUUUUACUAUGAGUUUGCACAGAGUCUAGUACAAUGUAGCUCUGAUCUUGGCUGGAACUUCUAGGCACUAUUGUAAUAUAAAUAAUACGAGUAUUAUGAAUUCUAGUUGGUGUCAGUUGAAUAGUUACAUUAUAGUACAACUAUAGAACUGGAUUCAUACCCACAUACCACUGAGAGCUCUCAGUAUUGGAAUACAAGGAGAAAUGAUUAUCUUGGCUGUGUAGUCAGUUAACAUAUUCUAAAAUUUAUGGUUUAUGGUAACUAUAUUUUCUAUUCCAUGUGACCUGGGGGAAGAGAACCAGGAAGAUAUAGACAAUGUGGAGGACCUUAUACUGAGCUUUUCUGCUGAAGCCCCAGAGUCCCUGCUUUGUAAAAGCAGAUAUUGGCAGAUCUGCAAUGAGCUCAUGCACCUGUCUCUUGAAUGUUCUGCUAUUCUCAUCAACACUUGAAGAAGAAAGGAAACAGCAUUGGACAGAGGGGAGAUCCUGACUGAAGGAUUCAGCCAGUAAGCCUGUUGGAACUUAUGCUACAGAUGCUGCAGUGUUUCUACUUCCAUGGUUUAAGUGACAAUGGGUCAAAACUGUUGAAAAUCCAGCAGCUAUCUGCCCACGAACACAUAAGUGCAUCAC
Molecule: long non-coding RNA, 828 nt
Organism: Trachemys scripta elegans
Lineage: Eukaryota; Metazoa; Chordata; Testudines; Emydidae
Exons: 4
Source: RefSeq, a predicted model, not a curated record